GAUGAACGCUGGCGGCGUGCCUAAUACAUGCAAGUCGAGCGAAUGGAUUAAGAGCUUGCUCUUAUGAAGUUAGCGGCGGACGGGUGGGUAACACGUGGGUAACCUGCCCAUAAGACUGGGAUAACUCCGGGAAACCGGGGCUAAUACCGGAUAACAUUUUGAACCGCAUGGUUCGAAAUUGAAAGGCGGCUUCGGCUGUCACUUAUGGAUGGACCCGCGUCGCAUUAGCUAGUUGGUGAGGUAACGGCUCACCAAGGCAACGAUGCGUAGCCGACCUGAGAGGGUGAUCGGCCACACUGGGACUGAGACACGGCCCAGACUCCUACGGGAGGCAGCAGUAGGGAAUCUUCCGCAAUGGACGAAAGUCUGAUGGAGCAACGCCGCGUGAGUGAUGAAGGCUUUCGGGUCGUAAAACUCUGUUGUUAGGGAAGAACAAGUGCUAGUUGAAUAAGCUGACACCUUGACGGUACCUAACCAGAAAGCCACGGCUAACUACGUGCCAGCCGCCGCAGUAA
This 515-nucleotide ribosomal RNA is filed under the name uncultured bacterium. Its description in RNAcentral is "partial 16S ribosomal RNA". It matches the Rfam family "Bacterial small subunit ribosomal RNA", at positions 28 to 523 of the family's 1533-position model. The record is from RNAcentral.